CUCAGGCCAGUCAGCCCAGCUGGACAUAAAGCCUGGUUGCUGGACUCACAAUCCAGUGCUCAUUUUACUGCAAGAGCGCCAUGCAGCCUCCCGGCCCAGCCCCAUUCCCCAGGAGGCCUAGUUUCUCAGCCACAGAUGAUAUCAAUUGGUCCCUGGAAAUGUGUCAACCCCUGAGACCAGAAGACAAGUGCCAAGAAGAGAGAAAUACUUGAGAUUCCUGUUAAGGAACAACGCUGGGUUUGACCUGGAUAACCCCAGAGAAUAAGGAGAAAAUAAUCAUGUCAGACAUUACAUAAUCCGGGAAGACACAGACGGAAGCUGGAGCUGGGAGAAAGACCACGGGGAGACGUGUCGACAUGUCCCGACUCGGGGCACACGGGGAUGACAGGGGGAGAGCGCAGCCUCCGGUGCCCAGUGGGAGACGUCAGACGCCAAAGAGUGUCCAGUGUCAGGCUCUGGGAUGUGAAAGGCACUCUGCAUUCUAGCCUCAUAAGAAUCUGAAAAAGUGUACCACUGUCACCGCUCGUUAGCUGAGGAAAAGGAGGCUCAGCAUGCUGGAAGACGUGCCCAAGGACGCAGAGUGUGGGAGUCUGAUGUUGGAGUCUCCAAGCUCAGAUUCUCUCCACUGUUCCUUGGUUUGUCCUCUCUUCAAAUCCUAGAUCCAGAUAAAAGGCAUCCUGAUCCUACAACCGCUUUCUACCUGGGCCUGUCCAAAACCACCACCACCCGCAGUACAACUACCCAUUCUUGAGGGUUCUGUGCUAAGACUCUGCAGUCUCCCAGAAUUAGCAAAUGCUUCUGUAGGGGGCUAAAUGGUGUCCCCCACUCCCCAAAUAUAUUUCCCUGUUCAAAUCCGAAUCCUAGAACCUAUGCUGUUUUAUAUGGCAAAAGAUGGAAUUAAGCUAAGGAUCUAGAAAGAAGUGGCUCAUCCAGGAUUAUCCAUAGACCCUAAAUACAUGACUCAUACCUUCUAAGGUGAGAGGCACGGGAAGUUUCCAGACAGACACACAGGAGGCAGGGAUGUGAAGAUGGAGACAGAGAUUUGAGUGAUGUGGCUAUGAGACCAGAAAUGCCCAGGAUGGGCAACCAACAGAAGCUGAGAGGGCCUCCAGAACCUCCGAGGGGAGCAUGCCCACCCCACACCUGGAUUCGACUCCCAGCCUCCGGACCUGUGAGAGCUAUUGCUGGUAGCCACCAAGUUUAUGUUUUGUUACAGCUGCCACAGGAAGCUAUCCCCUCUCCUAACAGGCCGACUUAUUUGGCCAGGUCCCAUCAGAGGUCAGGAGUGAUGUGGCUCAGAGAUUCAGAGUCACGAGCUCCUAGAUGUGGUCUCAUGGUCUCUUAGUAACAACAAAUCCACAGAUGGAUAGAAUCAAUUAGAAGAUGCUCAGAUUGAAAAUAAACUCUUGAGGUCGGAAGAAACCAAACAGCUGGAGAGAGUGUUGAACUUGCCCGGCAUCUGGGAGACUGGAACCUGCCCUAUCCAGAAAGAUAGGCUUGGGGGUAAAGAAGGCCCAUGUUAGGGUGGGAAGAGCCUCAGAGUAUUGCUAGAAUGUAAUAAGGCAGUAAACAUGAGGCUAGGUGAUCCGUAAUUUGAAUUUUUAAAAAGUGAUCGUCACUCGGGACGCCUGGGUGGCUCAGCAGUUGAACAUCUGCCAUCAGCUCAGGGGGUGAUCCUGGGUUCGGUAUCAAGUCCCAUAUUGGGAUCCCUG
Molecule: long non-coding RNA, 1712 nt
Organism: Canis lupus familiaris (dog)
Lineage: Eukaryota; Metazoa; Chordata; Mammalia; Carnivora; Canidae
Exons: 3
Source: RefSeq, a predicted model, not a curated record